Molecule: ribosomal RNA, 492 nt
Filed under: uncultured bacterium
Lineage: Bacteria
Description: partial 16S ribosomal RNA
Rfam family: Bacterial small subunit ribosomal RNA
Source: RNAcentral
AUUGAACGCUGGCGGCAUGCUUUACACAUGCAAGUCGAACGGUAACAGGCCUUCGGGUGCUGACGAGUGGCGAACGGGUGCGUAAUGCAUCGGAACGUACCCAGAGGUUGGGGAUAACGCAGCGAAAGCUGUGCUAAUACCGCAUGUGAUCUGAGGAUGAAAGCGGGGGACCGAGCAGCAAUGUUUGGCCUCGCGCCUUUGGAGCGGCCGAUGUCGGAUUAGCUAGUUGGUGGGGUAAAGGCCUACCAAGGCGACGAUCCGUAGCUGGUCUGAGAGGACGACCAGCCACACUGGGACUGAGACACGGCCCAGACUCCUACGGGAGGCAGCAGUGGGGAAUUUUGGACAAUGGGCGCAAGCCUGAUCCAGCAAUGCCGCGUGCGGGAAGAAGGCCUUCGGGUUGUAAACCGCUUUUGGCAGGAACGAAACGGUGUCCGCUAAUACCGGGCGCUAAUGACGGUACCUGCAGAAUAAGCACCGGCUAACUACGUG